This 817-nucleotide ribosomal RNA is filed under the name uncultured bacterium. RNAcentral's name for it is "bacterial SSU rRNA". It matches the Rfam family "Bacterial small subunit ribosomal RNA", at positions 83 to 916 of the family's 1533-position model. The record is from RNAcentral.
UUCCUUGAUCGAGUGGCGAACGGGUGAGUAACGCGUGAGGAACCUGCCUCAAAGAGGGGGACAACAGUUGGAAACGACUGCUAAUACCGCAUAAGCCCACGGCUCGGCACCGAGCAGAGGGAAAAGGAGCAAUCCGCUUUGAGAUGGCCUCGCGUCCGAUUAGCUAGUUGGUGAGGUAACGGCCCACCAAGGCGACGAUCGGUAGCCGGACUGAGAGGUUGAACGGCCACAUUGGGACUGAGACACGGCCCAGACUCCUACGGGAGGCAGCAGUGGGGAAUAUUGCACAAUGGGGGAAACCCUGAUGCAGCGACGCCGCGUGGAGGAAGAAGGUCUUCGGAUUGUAAACUCCUGUUGUUGAGGAAGAUAAUGACGGUACUCAACAAGGAAGUGACGGCUAACUACGUGCCAGCAGCCGCGGUAAAACGUAGGUCACAAGCGUUGUCCGGAAUUACUGGGUGUAAAGGGAGCGCAGGCGGGCGAUCAAGUUGGAAGUGAAAUCCAUGGGCUCAACCCAUGAACUGCUUUCAAAACUGAUUGUCUUGAGUAGUGCAGAGGUAGGCGGAAUUCCCGGUGUAGCGGUGGAAUGCGUAGAUAUCGGGAGGAACACCAGUGGCGAAGGCGGCCUACUGGGCACCAACUGACGCUGAGGCUCGAAAGUGUGGGUAGCAAACAGGAUUAGAUACCCUGGUAGUCCACACCGUAAACGAUGAUUACUAGGUGUUGGAGGAUUGACCCCUUCAGUGCCGCAGUUAACACGAUAAGUAAUCCACCUGGGGAGUACGACCGCAAGGUUGCAACUCAAAUGAAUUGACGG